UGUGCAACCUACCUUAUAGUUUGGGAUAACUCCCGGAAACCGGGGCUAAUACCGAAUAAUCGAUUUUACUUCAUGGUGAAAUACUGAAAGACGGUUUCGGCUGUCACUAUAAGAUGGGCCCUCGGCGCAUUAGCUAGUUGGUGAGGUAACGGCUCAACAAGGCCACGAUGCGUAGCCAACCUGAGAGGGUGAUCGGCCACUGAGGCACUGAGACACGUCCUACACUCCUACGGGAGGCGGCAGUUUGGAAUCUUCCACAAUGCGCGAAAGCCUGAUGGAGCGACUCCGCGUGAGUGCAGAAGGUUUUCGGAUCGUUAAACUCUGUAGUAAGGGAAGAACAUGUACAGCACUUUCUGGUUGUACCUUGACGGUACCUUAUUACAAAGCCACGGCUAACUACGUGCCAGCAGCCGCGGAGGUACGUAGGUUGCAUGCGAUGUACGGAAUUAUUGGCCGCACGGGCGCGCCGGCGGUCCUUUAAGUCUGAUGUGAAACUUCACGCCUCAACCGCGGAGGGUCAUUGUAAACUGGGGGACUGGAGUGCAGAAGAGAAAAGUGGAAUUCCAGGUGUAGCGCUUAAAUGUCGUAGAGAUUUACCAGGAGCACCAGUGGCCAAGGUGGACUUUCUGGUCUGUAACUGACGCUAAGGCGUGAAAGCGUGGGGAGCCAACAGCAUUAGAUACUCUGCGUAGUCAACGCUGUAAAUUUUGAGGGCUAAGUGUUAGGUGGAUUUCCUCCCCGUUAAGUGCUGCAGUUAACGCGAUUUAACGCAGGUGCCGCCCGCGAGUAACGCUCGCAAUUAAUUAAAAAUUUAAAAGGAAGUCGACCGGGCAGGCCGCACUAAUCAGUGGAAUAAUGUGGAUUAAAUUCGGAAGCAACCUUAACAACCCUAACCAGGUCUUGGAAAUUCCAGUUGAGCACUGUUUAUAUUCAUGGGUGUUACCCUUCAGGAAAAGAGCGGGUACAGGCUGGUGCAUGCUCUGUCGCUCAAACAUGGUUUGUGUA
This 1005-nucleotide ribosomal RNA is filed under the name Lysinibacillus sp. Its description in RNAcentral is "bacterial SSU rRNA". The stretch from base 1 to 775 matches the Rfam family "Bacterial small subunit ribosomal RNA", at positions 118 to 873 of the family's 1533-position model. Lineage: Bacteria; Bacillati; Bacillota; Bacilli; Caryophanales; Bacillaceae. The record is from RNAcentral.